This 274-nucleotide ribosomal RNA is filed under the name uncultured bacterium. Its description in RNAcentral is "partial 16S ribosomal RNA". It matches the Rfam family "Bacterial small subunit ribosomal RNA", at positions 523 to 796 of the family's 1533-position model. The record is from RNAcentral.
AUACGAACUGUGCGAACGUUAUUCGGAAUCACUGGGCUUAAAGGGUGCGUAGGCGGGUUUAAAGGUCUGAUGUGAAAGCCCACGGCUCAACCGUGGAAUUGCGUUGGAAACCAUGAACCUUGAGGAGAUCAGAGGUGAGCGGAACUGAUGGUGGAGCGGUGAAAUGCGUUGAUAUCAUCAGGAACACCGGUGGCGAAAGCGGCUCGCUGGGAUCUUUCUGACGCUGAGGCACGAAAGCUAGGGGAGCGAACGGGAUUAGAUACCCCGGUAGUCC